RNAcentral lists this long non-coding RNA (1716 nucleotides) under Homo sapiens (human). RNAcentral describes it as "MAGI2 antisense RNA 3". The record is from RNAcentral. Lineage: Eukaryota; Metazoa; Chordata; Mammalia; Primates; Hominidae.
AGAGGAAGCAGUGGUGGUGGCGUCGGCGGCGGCGGCGGCGGCAGCCGGAGCGAGCAGUAGCCGAGCUGUAAUGUCUUACAAUAACAGAAUGCAGGAGAGCACAUAUCAAUGAAGAAAAGACAAAAUGUACUUAUCCAUGAAGCUGAGGUUAAGAAACCAGUGUCUUCAAGAGCCAGGGACAGCACUGGGUCUGUGCAGAGUUGAGAGAUGGUGAUGACAUGUGGUUUCCAGCAUUCUUGGCCCAGUCUGGGAUUCUACUCUUUUGUAGUGGUUUCCAGCAUUCCUCACCCAGUCCAGGGACACUGUGGGUGUGCCCAGCUUAAGUCCAGUAACUGGAAAUACAAGCCCAAGUUCUGGAGAGUUUGAGCUGCAGAGAUAUAUAUGGGAACACUUUGAAUCUUGACUCAUUGGCCAUAACCAGCAGAGUGGAAAAUACAAGAAGAGAAAAAAACAUUGAACUGCGAUUUUAUAACAUCCUUUACUAGGCAGAGAGAAGAGGAAACACCAGGAAAGAAAACUGUAUUACGAUGUGAAAACUUAAUGUUGAGAAAUUCAGGCAUCUUGGGGUUAGUGAGGAGAAGUUUUAGGGGCUUAGAUUCUUCUAAACACAUGUACAGAAAUGCAUAUUUCAUCUGAUAUCAAAUGGCAUUUAUAGUGCUAAUCUUUACCUCAAGACUUCACAUCUUUUGGUGAUUGCAUCUUUUAGGUUUAUAGCAGCUAAGUUUGCAUGAAAACACCAGGGCUGUUUCAUUUCAGUCAAGAAUUAAUGUUCAUUGAUUGUGCUUCUGCAUUUCAUGUAACUAUUGUAGAAUUUGUUUUAGUUUUAUGAGGGAAUAAUUGUUCCAACUUCUAUAUAACUCAGGAAUUUACUCUCAAACAACACUGUCAAUUAGUUACUUAUCUCUCUGGAAAUGAUCUGGGAACAUGGAGAGGAAAGGGAGGAAGGGGCAAAAUCUGACCACUUAAAUCUAAGCAUAUUAGAUCAUUUUAUGCUAGAAAGUCCUGAAUGAUGUGACUUUCGUUCUUGUAAAACACCUCUUUCCAUAGAUUCAUGGCCCAAACAGUAUAUAAAGAGUGGGGAAGGAACUGCAUUUGCAAAUAGUUCAAAUCAUUGCUCCAUCUUAACUACGCAGUUCACAAAGUGUGAAGAAAUGUGAUCAUCUCAAAAAAGAUAAUGGGGAAAAAAUAUGUUUUGUUCUGUGACUUUAAAGUCUUGCAAUAUUUUACAUAAAUGAUAAUGGGUGCUUUAAUAAGAACUCUUGAUACUUUUGUUAUUGUAUUCAAUAUAUGCAUAUAAUACAACAGGAUGAUAUUGUUUUGGAUUUGGAAAUGUAUUCUUUCUUAUGCAAUCUUAUGCAGUCAUACUGCUUGAAUAUCAUUACCUGAAUUUAUCUUUCUUUUUUUUGUUGUUGUUUUACACUCUACUUAUUUGGUGCCUGUCAGUCUUUUGUCGUCAGUUUAUAUUCUACUAAACUCAAAAAGACAAUCUCAUACCUUUUGUAAUUGUAGGCAUUCUUUACUAGAUUUUUAAAUACACUUCAAAAAUUCAAGUACUUUGAUUUCAUGCCAUCAAGUAGCUGAAUCUAUCCCCCCGUCUCUUUUUAAAUUUAAGUGAGUAGUUCAAUUUCUGUCACUUUCUACUUUGUGAAUUCUAAAUCUUUUAAAACCAUCUUGCCAUUUUUCGUGCACUUACCCUUACAGAAAACUCUGUGAAAC